GUUUGGACGCAGCUUCUGAGGAAGAGAGAGACAGAGCCUGAGAUGGGGACGCCUGUGGUUCCCGCCGCGGCCGUCUGCGUGGGACGGACCCGAGGACCAGGCUUAGGGGGAUCCCCAGGAAAGCCCCCCGGGAGGGUCAGUGGUUGCUCACGGCUGUUUGUGGAUUGGAGCCCCCAGGGGAUGGCAACGAGAGAAAUGAUUUCACGCCGACAGUAUAAGCAGCGGGGUUCAUCGCCGAAUGUCAGUGGGAUCAAUGGUCAGUUGGCUUUUUACGGGCGCUAGAGAAGGCCGCCCCUGCCCUCCUGCUUCAUCACGUCCACCGACUCAUGGGGACCUCCCAGGGAGCUGUGCACGUCACAGGUGUGCACUUUCUCUCACGGGAUAAAUCCUAUUUUCCGAAGGCUUUGGCACUGAGUAAAGCUUGAGAGAUUAACUUGUCUAGCACCUUCGUGUCACAGAUGAUGUUUCAGAUGCCCCGAGACUCUUGUCACAGCUGAUUGUGGCAGAGCAAGGAACAGACAGGUCGUUUGCUGGAAUCCAGAAGUGAGCCAGACAAGGAUGAAAUCCCGGGGCAGCUGAUUUCGGGCAAGGAGAGAGGUUGUAUUGCCGUUCGCGAAUCCUCAAAUAUCCAGGACAUUCUCUGACCCAGGGGAAUGGUGGUGGGAGUCAGAACUAAGAAAAUGUGUGACACAGAUAAUAUGUCUUCUCCCCCAGUUCCUAUUUUGGGUGCAUUUCUUCUUUUUGAGGGCCUGGUUGCUGGAUGUUCUUCUGGAGGAGGAACAUUUCUUGCAGGAUUUUACUUCUAAACGUGUAGAGAACGUAGUAUUCCUGCUCGUGUCUUCACAGUGCGAUGCUUACAGAGACGUUUUUCGAGCUUGCUGAUGGGAGAAAACCUUAUCCCAAGCCCUGCACGUUUGCCAUGGAGUUGAGGACGUCCUGCAUGGUCAAGUGGGUUCCAUCUGCGGGAGACAUUCUUAUCCAGGGACACCCAAAGAGCAAAAGAGACGAGAACUCACCAGAUUUUCCACGGACAGGAGCUGCAAAAUAAAUAAAUUAGCCAGAGAUGAACACAGAGCAAGGAUUCUUCGGUUUUUCAAAAGUCAUAGCUGUUGUUUUCUGUUCAUUUUAUUAUUUCUUUCAAUAGAAAUUCAUUAAAAAAACUUAA
Long non-coding RNA from Neofelis nebulosa (Clouded leopard), 1165 nucleotides. RefSeq lists it as uncharacterized. NCBI's taxonomy places the organism in Eukaryota, Metazoa, Chordata, Mammalia, Carnivora, Felidae. The transcript has 2 exons. The record is from RefSeq and is a predicted model, not a curated record.